RNAcentral lists this unclassified non-coding RNA (3044 nucleotides) under Leishmania donovani. Its description in RNAcentral is "gene:LdHU3.36.3760(CDS-product:cyclin-e_binding_p rotein_1-like_protein)". The record is from RNAcentral. Lineage: Eukaryota; Euglenozoa; Kinetoplastea; Trypanosomatida; Trypanosomatidae.
CUCAUACGAAAGACGACGGAUUGAUAGGUGCGCCGCGCCGAUAGCGAAGGAGCAUCGGCGGCAAGAGUCUGCAGCUCGUCGAUUCCCUCCCCCCUCCCCGCAUCUCCUUUGAGAAUUCCUCUCUUUUUUUCUGUACGCUAAUCACUUGACAAGCGGUUCGGGCCAUGUUCGCCGUUGUGCCGACAGCGGCUGCGGCACCAACGGAGGCGGCCCUGCACUCGCUUGCUGACUCUGCCAAGCCCGUCGCGGAUGCUUUGCGUCCGUUUUUGGAAGCAUCUCCAUCAGCCACGGCCUCGCUGAUGCCGCUGUACACGAUCAAAAAGGUAGCGUCCUGCAAAGCCGUCUACUCUGCUUUGCUCCGCAGCGAUGGCGUGCUGCUGCUUCUCUCACAUCCUGCCGCCGACGGCGCAGCAAGCAGCGCACACGUCUCGGUCCUGGAGAGCGGCGGGGAGGCUGUUGUCGAUGUUGCAGCUGGAGAGUCGCACAUUGUUUACUGCACUGUUUCAGGGGCUGUUUACAGCUGCGGCUACGACAACACGUACGGCCAGCUCGGAGACGGCUCUGUGUGGUCGUCCAACGAUGCCGCUGACAGUCUCGCUGAUGAGCAAAACGUUGGAGGCGUGAGGGAGCUAGUGCUGAGCGCGCCCAGGCGGAUUGCCGGAUUCGGAGAGGGCGCACUGACAGACGGCGCGCAUAGGGGACACCUCAGCAACGAGGACACAGGUACACCGCUGAGCAGUCUGAAGGAUUACCGGGUUGCUAUCGACUUGGCACCCCUAUCGUCAUCUCUCUCUUCCUGCACCCGAUCGCUCACUGCUGCUGCAAAGAGCACGUCGACUGGUGACUCGGCCGCUUCAUGGCGGCACGUGCCACCUCCGGCUGACCGGCACAUUAAGCAGGUUGCGUGCGGCGCCCACCACACGCUCAUGCUCACUCGGUCUGGUCGCUGCGUCUACGCGUGUGGAACCGGCGCGCACGGCCAGCUUGGUGGAUCGCGCCCGGUGCUCGUGCAGUCCACAUUUCGCGCUAUUAAGCUGCUGUUCGGGGUAGAUAUGGCACAGGUGGCUGCAGGAGACGCACACAGCUUCGUGCUGCUCCGCAACGGGCUGCUUUACGCCUUUGGGGACAACACAUGUGGCCAAUUGGGUCUGGGACACACAAAGUGUGUCAGCCGUCCCACCACGGUGCCACUCACUAAAAAGGAAGAGUAUGAGGCGUCCAUGCCGCAGGAUCACGCUGCAGCGACCACAAAGGGUCACCGGCAUCUGGACGCCAAGGCCUACGCGACGUUGCGGGCACCCUACGCCUCUACGGAGAGCACCUACUACCCGUUGCGAGUACCACGUCUUCAAGACAAUGGAAAGCCGCAUGCCAUCACGGGCGACGACAACCGCGACAGCGGUGCAGCCUUCACCACAGUAAUCAAGUACGAUGCCCAUUCCCAUGAGCUCGACGCGUCGAACUCAAGCUUUAGAGUAGUGCGCGUCUACUGCUGUGUCUCGUGGACGCUGCUGGAGACCACGAACCCCGGCGUGUGGCUUUCAUGCGGGGUCCCACUGACGCGUGGCGUGAACCGGGCCGACGUGGCCACGACUGCGGCGCGCAUAGAUGGAUGUGGGGUGCUGGGUCGGCCGCUUCUGCGCAACAAGGCCGAAGCCUAUGUCUUUCAGCCCGUUAACUGGGCUGCGACCCUGUUCAGUAUGCGGCAGAAUGUUGACGCAGCCACUGAUGCCCUCGCAGCACCACCGACAUGGGUGGGAAAUGAGCAGCAGGUUUUCAGUGCCGACCCAUCCCACGGCGCCGGGGAGGGCACUUCUGAUGCGCUACAGCUACCGGGUGUGCAAAUCCAUCACCGCGCGCCUUGCUCCAUCUCAGGCGAAGGCGACUCUUCCUCGUGCACUCCCGUAGUCACCACUGCACCGGCUGCGGGGCAUUGCAACACUCCCGACAGCCGUAUCAGCAGCGACACCGUGCCUAGGUUCUCUCACCCGAACAAGGGUAUAGAAAAUGCGAUCUUGCGCGUCAGCGACACUCUCGUCAGUGCGUACCCGACAUCACUGCUUGUGGCUUUCUCGAGUGCCAAUGCCGGGGACGUAGGCCGUGAUGGUGCUGUUACUAGCAUGCUCAUCCAGAGCGGGAGCCCGGCAGUUGUGGCAUUGGAGGUGCGGCAGGACAGCUCCUCUGUGCACGAGGUGUGGGGAAGUCCCACCCAUGCCAGCAUGGGUGGGCCGCUGACUGCCGAGUCUAGCGGAACCUCCGUAUUGCAAGUGAAUUCCACUCAUGGUGCUGUGAUACCGCUGCCUUCCUAUGUUCUUGUGAUUUAGCGUCUCCAGGCUGUCGAUAAGGGCCUCCGACCCCACAUGUUUCUUGGUGGUGGUGAUGGUUGGGUGUGUGAGUGAGCAGAGGUGGCUGCCAGUGCACAUACGUGCGUAUGCCUGCAUAUACGGUGCCCCUCUUUACACGCGAUGUAAAUCAAGCUGACAGAACAGACGCAUGUAUAUUCGUUACUGAGUAUUUCGUCGAUCAUCUCUCGGUUGUCUUGGUCUGAAGGGGGCGAGGGGAAGGGAGACGAUGGGGCCAGCGACAGUGUACUGCAUUUUCUUUGCUUCCCCUCUGUUUCGCUUUGGAUGACUACUCUUGUCGCAUGCGUGCGUGUGCUGGUAUGGGCCCCACCCUUUGACCGGCGGGGAGGUUGCUCCGCGGAUCUCCCCAAAGACGCAAACUCAGAAUAAACAUCUAAGCUAAAUCAAGACGAAGAGCUGUGACGGGCUGGUUUCUUGCAGCUGAGCUUGGAGGCGAGACCACUGGCGCUGCCGUUCUUCAGAGGUGCUGCAUUGCAGCGACAAGGAGGAACAACUACUGUGUCCGUCCUCUGCUGCAUACGCCACCAGUGAGGUUCAGUGCAAAGUCGCGGUGUUUCUUUCAGCCUAUCGGAGUGGACCACGGCACGCCUCACGCGCUUCUCCUUCUCGCGUUACAGUACAAGGAAAGGCGACGUGCCACAAGGACGAGCGGCGUCGGUAUCUCGUCGUUCCGCAUUCCCC